This 254-nucleotide ribosomal RNA is filed under the name uncultured bacterium. RNAcentral's name for it is "partial 16S ribosomal RNA". It matches the Rfam family "Bacterial small subunit ribosomal RNA", at positions 524 to 776 of the family's 1533-position model. The record is from RNAcentral.
UACGUAGGGGGCGAGCGUUGUCCGGAUUUAUUGGGCGUAAAGGGCUUGUAGGUGGCCACGCGAAGUCCGACGUGAAAUCCCAAGGCUUAACCUUGGAACUGCGUCGGAUACUGGAUGGCUUGAAUUCGGGAGAGGGAUGAAGAAUUCCAGGUGUAGCGGUGAAAUGCGUAGAUAUCUGGAGGAAUACCGGUGGCGAAGGCGGCAUCCUGGACCGACAUUGACGCUGAUGAGCGAAAGCUAGGGGAGCAAACGGG